Molecule: ribosomal RNA, 466 nt
Filed under: uncultured bacterium
Lineage: Bacteria
Description: partial 16S ribosomal RNA
Rfam family: Bacterial small subunit ribosomal RNA
Source: RNAcentral
GACGAACGCUGGCGGCGCGCCUAACACAUGCAAGUCGAACGAGCGAGCGAGAGCUUGCUUUCUCAAGCGAGUGGCGAACGGGUGAGUAACGCGUGAGGAACCUGCCUCAAAGAGGGGGACAACAGUUGGAAACGACUGCUAAUACCGCAUAAGCUCACGACCCGGCAUCGGGUCGAGGGAAAAGGAGCAAUCCGCUUUGAGAUGGCCACGCGUCCGAUUAGCUAGUUGGAGAGGUAACGGCCCACCAAGGCGACGAUCGGUAGCCGGACUGAGAGGUUGAGCGGCCACAUUGGGACUGAGACACGGCCCGGACUCCUACGGGAGGCAGCAGUGGGUAAUAGUGCACAAUGGGGGAAACCCUGAUGCAGCGACGCCGCGUGGAGGAAGAAGGUCUUCGGAUUGUAAACUCCUGUUGUGGAGGAAGAUAAUGACGGUACUCAACAAGAAAGUGACGGCUAACUACGUG